This 459-nucleotide ribosomal RNA is filed under the name uncultured bacterium. RNAcentral describes it as "partial 16S ribosomal RNA". It matches the Rfam family "Bacterial small subunit ribosomal RNA", at positions 338 to 795 of the family's 1533-position model. The record is from RNAcentral.
CCUACGGGCGGCAGCAGUGAGGAAUAUUGGUCAAUGGGCGAUAGCCUGAACCAGCCAAGUCGCGUGAAGGAUGACUGCCCUAUGGGUUGUAAACCUCUUUUGUCUGAGAACAAAACGCAGGACGUAUACCGGUCUGCGUGUACCCUAAGAAAAAGCAUCGGCUAACUCCGUGCCAGCAGCCGCGGUAAUACGGAGGAUGCGAGCGUUAUCCGGAUUUAUUGGGUUUAAAGGGUGCGUAGGCGGUCUGUUAAGUCAGCGGUAAAAUUUCGGGGCUCAACCCCGUCGAGACGUUGAAUCUGGCAGACUUGAGUGGGCGAGAGGUACGCGGAAUGCGUGGUGUAGCGGUGAAAUGCAUAGAUAUCGCGCAGAACUCCGAUUGCGAAGGCAGCGUGCCGGCGUCAAACUGACGCUGAGGCACGAAAGCGUGGGUAUCGAACAGGAUUAGAUACCCCUGUAGUC